Molecule: long non-coding RNA, 385 nt
Filed under: Brassica rapa (field mustard)
Lineage: Eukaryota; Viridiplantae; Streptophyta; Magnoliopsida; Brassicales; Brassicaceae
Description: long non-coding RNA (BRAP_LNC005440)
Source: RNAcentral
AAAGAGCUUACAUGUAUUCGCAUGUUUACAAUGCUUAUACAGCCACAGAAUAGAACAAGGUCGUUGACCAAAAAUAAAAGAAUAGAACAAGGUCUGUGGAUCACACAGUAAACCACAAAUAACCUUGAAAGGCACAUAUAUUACAAAAACUUAAGGCCCAACAAAGUUUCCAUGGGUUUGGGAGUAUAUGACAACCCAAAGCAACCAACGUUGGGAAAUUGUUUGAUAUUGAAUUUCAUUUUUGAUAAAUAAUGUCUUUGAAAAGCUGAGGCACCGACUUACACCAGCUCUCCUUACAAGAAUACCCGCACAAACAUACAAGUAGAAAAUUACUUUUAAAAAUAGGAAAAUAAUAAAAGAAAUAAAACGGCAACACUUUCGUGUG